CUCCUACGGGAGGCAGCAGUGGGGAAUCUUGCGCAAUGCGCGAAAGCGUGACGCAGCAACGCCGCGUGGGGGAAGAAGGCUUUCGGGUUGUAAACCCCUUUCAGUUGGGACGAAGCUUCGGCGGUUAAUAGCCGUUUGAAGUGACGGUACCUUCACAAGAAGCACCGGCUAACUACGUGUCAGCAGCCGCGGUAAUAC
RNAcentral lists this ribosomal RNA (198 nucleotides) under uncultured bacterium. RNAcentral describes it as "partial 16S ribosomal RNA". It matches the Rfam family "Bacterial small subunit ribosomal RNA", at positions 336 to 526 of the family's 1533-position model. The record is from RNAcentral.